ACGUAGGGGGCAAGCGUUAUCCGGAAUUACUGGGCGUAAAGAGCGUGUAGGCGGGUUUGUAAGUCCGAUGUGAAAUUCCCGGGAUUAACUUGGGAGGGGCCUCCGAUACUGGCAAUAUUGAGUCUUGUAGAGGAUGGUAGAAUACCCGGUGUAGGGGUGAAAUGCGUAGAUCUCAGGAGGAAUACCAGUGGCGAAGGCGUCUAUCUGGACUGUGACUGACGCUGAGGCGCGAAAGCGUGGGGAUCAAACAG
This 251-nucleotide ribosomal RNA is filed under the name uncultured prokaryote. RNAcentral's name for it is "partial 16S rRNA". It matches the Rfam family "Bacterial small subunit ribosomal RNA", at positions 525 to 775 of the family's 1533-position model. The record is from RNAcentral.